RNAcentral lists this ribosomal RNA (251 nucleotides) under uncultured prokaryote. RNAcentral describes it as "partial 16S rRNA". It matches the Rfam family "Bacterial small subunit ribosomal RNA", at positions 525 to 775 of the family's 1533-position model. The record is from RNAcentral.
ACGUAGGGGGCGAGCGUUGUCCGGAAUCACUGGGCGUAAAGCGCACGUAGGCGGGCUGUCAAGUUGGCCGUGAAAGGCACGGGCUCAACCUGUGCAUGUCGUUGGAUACUGGCGAUCUGGAGUGUGGGAGAGGGAGAUGGAAUUCCCGGUGUAGGGGUGAAAUGCGUAGAGAUCGGGAGGAACACCAGUGGCGAAGGCGGGUUACUGGAACAUGACUGACGCUGAGGUGCGAAAGCCGGGGGAGCAAACGG